GAUCCUGGCUUAGGAUGAACGCUAGCGACAGGCUUAACACAUGCAAGUCGAGGGGCAGCAUAAAAGUAGCAAUACCUUGGUGGCGACCGGCGCACGGGUGAGUAACGCGUAUGCAACCUACCUAUCAGAGGGGAAUAACCCGGCGAAAGUCGGACUAAUACCGCAUAAAACAGGGGCACCGCAUGGUGAUAUUUGUUAAAGAAAUUCGCUGAUAGAUGGGCAUGCGUUCCAUUAGGUAGUUGGUGAGGUAACGGCUCACCAAGCCGACGAUGGAUAGGGGAACUGAGAGGUUGGUCCCCCACACUGGUACUGAGACACGGACCAGACUCCUACGGGAGGCAGCAGUGAGGAAUAUUGGUCAAUGGGCGGGAGCCUGAACCAGCCAAGUCGCGUGAAGGGAAAAGAAGGAUCUAUGGUUCGUAAACUUCUUUUGCAGGGGAAUAAAGUGCAGGACGUGUCCUGUUUUGUAUGUACCCUGAGAAUAAGGAUCGGCUAGCUCCGUGCCAGCAGCCGC
RNAcentral lists this ribosomal RNA (514 nucleotides) under uncultured bacterium. RNAcentral describes it as "bacterial SSU rRNA". It matches the Rfam family "Bacterial small subunit ribosomal RNA", at positions 15 to 518 of the family's 1533-position model. The record is from RNAcentral.